Long non-coding RNA from Struthio camelus australis, 1135 nucleotides. RefSeq lists it as uncharacterized. The record is from RefSeq and is a predicted model, not a curated record. Lineage: Eukaryota; Metazoa; Chordata; Aves; Struthioniformes; Struthionidae.
UGCAUCUGUACUUACUAUCAAGGUAAUACAGUUCCCGUCACACUGUAUUUAGAGGACGGCAUAGCUACAGCUAAUAGGAGAGCAAGAGCAAGGCAAAGUAAGGAAGGAGAGACACAGACUGCUGCUGCAUACACUUGUCUAUAUAUUGCUCUUUGUGGUAACCUGUGUAAACAUGCUGACACGUUGCUCUGCCUGGUUAAAAAGCACCAGAGCUGCAUUCUUGACUGAUCCAGCUGGAUUUUACUCCUGUGAGAAGUAAGAAUGGCAAAGCCUGCAAGGAAGAGGUGAAACCGAACACUUGUAUGUUCUGAGGACCUGUGACUGACAAGAUUGUUCAUCCAAGAGCUGUGAUUUCCAGAAAGUUGGGCACUGGGAAAAUUUCUGGGCACAGAAAUCCCUAAAUCUAAAACCAUCUUUUUCAGUUUGUGCCCACUGCCUCUCGUCCUGUCACUGGGCACCACCGAGAAGAGUGUGGCCCUGUCAUCUUUACAACGUCCUACCAGAUAUUUGUGAACACUGACAAAAUCACCCAGAGCCUUCUUUUCUCCAGACUGAGUCACAGCUCUCUCAGCCACUUCUCAUAUGAGAGAUGCCCUUAAUCAUCUUUAAGGAUUUAACCAUCAUUUUAAGCAGCAACAUGACUUAACAUGACUAUUUUCCACAAAAAAUGACCUCUGACUCCAAAUAAAAGCAAAAAGAUUGAACUGUGUCUACAUUACCUAAAAGUAUCAGAACACAAUUUAAGUGUUGACACUACAAUGUCUCUAGACUUAAAGCUGGAUAUAUUUCCUACGUGUAACUAGAAUUUCAUAUACUUUAAGAAAUGAAUUGUUUUGGUUUUUUUGCUAUAGCAGAAUCACUAGAAUUACCACUUACAAUAAGCACAGGGUAGAAGUGUAGAAGAUAGCAUUAUGAGUAUUAUUGUCAUUAUAAAAUAAAAAACCGACUGUGAUUCUUCGGGAACAAAAGCCAACUGUAUCAACAGGCACUCUCAGUAAAAUUAACAAGUUCUUUGCCUUUCACAUAGCUACGGUGAAAAAAAAAAAAUCAAUCAAAGCAACACCCUUAAUAUAUAAAAAUUAAUUAUAUUUCCAAUAGAAACUAUACUCUUGUAUCAAAUGAUAGUAGUUUGAUG